GACGAACGCUGGCGGCAUGCUUAACACAUGCAAGUCGAACGAUUGCCCUCGGGUGAUGGUGGCUCACGGGUGCGUAACGGGUUGGAAUCCGCCCUUAUGUUCGGCAUAACAGUUUGAAACGGCUGCUAAUACCGGAUGAUAACGCCAGAUCAAAGAUUGAUCGGCUGAGGAUGGGCUGGCGUUGGUUUGGGUGGUGGGUGGGGGAAUGGCCUACCAAGCCGGCGGUCCAUGGCUGGUCUGAGAGGAUGAUCAGCCACGCUGGGACUGAGACACGGCACAGACUCGGACGGGAGGCAGGGGUGGGGAAUAUUGGGCGAUGGACGCAAGCCUGAUCAAGCAAUGCCGCGGGAGUGAUGCAGGCCGUAGGGAAGUAAAGCUCUUUUGCCCGGGAAGAUAAUGACUGUACCGGGAGAAUAAGCCCCGGCUAACUCCGUG
RNAcentral lists this ribosomal RNA (435 nucleotides) under uncultured bacterium. Its description in RNAcentral is "partial 16S ribosomal RNA". It matches the Rfam family "Bacterial small subunit ribosomal RNA", at positions 28 to 507 of the family's 1533-position model. The record is from RNAcentral.